UACGGGGGGGGCAAGCGUUGUUCGGAAUUACUGGGCGUAAAGGGCUUGUAGGUGGCCAACUAAGUCAGACGUGAAAUCCCUCGGCUUAACCGGGGAACUGCGUCUGAUACUGGAUGGCUUGAGUGUGGGAGAGGGAUGCGGAAUUCCAGGUGUAGCGGUGAAAUGCGUAGAUAUCUGGAGGAACACCGGUGGCGAAGGCGACUCUUUGGCCUGUAACUGACGCUGAGGCGCGAAAGCGUGGGGAGCAAACAGG
Molecule: ribosomal RNA, 253 nt
Filed under: uncultured bacterium
Lineage: Bacteria
Description: partial 16S ribosomal RNA
Rfam family: Bacterial small subunit ribosomal RNA
Source: RNAcentral